CCCACCGUGCACGGCCCAAAGCCCACCCGGCGACCUCGAGCCGCGUCCGCCGGAGACGAUUGCCCCCGCCGCCGGGCGCGGGAAUGGCGUUCUCCUUCGCCUCGCCGGCGCCGCAGAAUCCGUUCCAGACACCGGCGCAGACCCCAUCCCUCUCGCCUUCGCCGUUUCAGUUUAGCUUGCCGCAGCCGCAGCAGCAGCCGCCGCAACAGCAACUGGCGGCGCCGUCUGCGCAACCGCCGCAGCAGCAGCUGAUGCUAUAUACGACGGACGGGAAGCCCGCGGGGUACAACACGAAGUGGGAGGAGCUUCACUCCGAGUCGCAGAAGGCGCUCCUCCAGAUCGAGGAUAAAAUAAGGGAGUACAGGGAUGAGAGCGAGAGGUUGGAUCAGUGUUCUCGCCUUCAUGACUCAUCGAUCUCAAAUGUUAAUUUUGAACAUGAUGCAAGUGAAAUCGCUCAGGAACUUGGAGGGACAACAACUAUGAUGGAAAGAGAGAAGGCUUCUGUUCAAGAGUUAAUGACUGUUGUGAAUGAAAUGAUGCGGAACACAGAAUUUUCUAUUAGGUCAUAUAUGAUGCUGAGACCAAGAUUUAUCCGUCCAGGUGUUGGAGCAAAUGGUAGUGGCUCAAAUCCUUCCGGUCCUGCUGGAGCUCAGUCCAAUCAGCCAGUUGCAGUGGCACCAACCAUUGAUUUCUACAGUGGGAUCCCAAAGCGACCUUCCCUUUUUAUGCAACAGACUAUCAACAAAUUUGAGAAGUAUCUUGGAGAAUGCUGCAAGUGGAUUGCUGAGCUAGAACAGCUUGUUCAAAUGGAGAACAAUAAAAGGCAAUCAGCCUCACUAGAAUCUCUACCGAAGGUUAUGUCGAAUGUGCAUGAUUAUUUCAUCUAUGUUGCUUCUAAGGUGGAAAAUCUUCAUCAGUACGUCGAGUCAUUGAAAACUGAAUAUCUACAUGAGCAGAGGCGAAUGGGUAAUGCCAAUGAUCCAUUUUUAGAGGCAAAUAGACGGGAAGCGGCUAAACAAGAAGCAGCUGCUAGAAGGGUACAUCCAACAUUGCAUUUGCCUGCUCCUGUACAGCCCACAACUCAAAUUGCUGGAACAGCAACGAGUCAGCCACAGCAAUCAUUGAUUCCUUCUGGAGCGACUUCUUCAAGUGCUUUUCCAUCUUUCAGCACCCCAGUUUCUGCUCCAUCUUCUUCGAGUCUCUUUUCAACUCCAACUCUAUCAAGCAACCUUUUUGGUUCCUCUGGAUCAGCCCCGCUGUCCACACCAUUUGGGACAGUCUCCACUCCGACGCUUGGAUCAACACCAGCUCCAUCUGGAUUUGGGAAUACAACUCCAUCUUUUGCUUCAACGCCGGCCAUAGGUGGAACCUCAUUGUUUUCUACACCAUUUGGAGGUGUAGCUACAGCUUCAGGAUCCAGCUUUGGUGGUACAUCUAAAGUGAGGUCAAAACCUCGGGGCCGACGCUAGGUGUAGCUGAUCAACAUGAAAUAGCUGGUUCCUUCGGUUGGCAUUUGCUGCAGGCGUUGUUUGCUGGUAGUUGUGUCAAGGGCUUGGAAGUCAAGCGUUGACCUGAGCGAUUAUUUCAGUGGCGCUAAGCUACUGUCGGAUGAACGGAGACGGUUCCACGGCCUCGUUCGAUGACCACGUCAGAAAGGAAAUAGCUCGUCCAGUUUGACUUUUUGAUGGUUGAGGAGUGGCAUUGUGUUCUCAGUGGAUAAAAUAAAAUCGCUAUCAUGCCAGCGGCGGUGUUUUUUAACCUAAUUGCAUCCUAAAGUCAGUACACCUGUGCCCUUCAAGGGCAACAUCACAGUGCGACUGCUCCUAUGUGAAUGGUUAAAAACAAAAAUAAUAGUGGGAUUAUAUAUUAUAGGGAAGUUCUAAAAUUACUCAAUCCAUUCUAUAUUAUAAAACUUACUGAGUU
Molecule: RNA transcript, 1923 nt
Organism: Oryza brachyantha (malo sina)
Lineage: Eukaryota; Viridiplantae; Streptophyta; Magnoliopsida; Poales; Poaceae
Gene name: nuclear pore complex protein NUP58
Exons: 8
Source: RefSeq, a predicted model, not a curated record